RNAcentral lists this ribosomal RNA (232 nucleotides) under Bacillus sp. W. Its description in RNAcentral is "partial 16S ribosomal RNA". It matches the Rfam family "Bacterial small subunit ribosomal RNA", at positions 1240 to 1480 of the family's 1533-position model. Lineage: Bacteria; Bacillati; Bacillota; Bacilli; Caryophanales; Bacillaceae. The record is from RNAcentral.
UAAAGGUUUUGCAAGACUAGUUAAGGAAUCCCAUAAAACCAUUUCAGUUCGGAUUGCAGGUGCAACUCGCCUGCAUGAAGCCGGAAUCGUAGUAAUCGCGGAUCAGCAUGCCGCGGUGAAUACGUUCCCGGGCCUUGUACACACCGCCCGUCACACCACGAGAGUUUGUAACACCCGAAGUCGGUGGGGUAACCUUUGGAGCCAGCCGCCUAAGGUGGACAGAUAUUGGGGG